UUUUUUUUUUUUUUUUUUUUUUUUUUCACUUCGCCAAGUUCUAAACGUCUAAUUUGUUUUUGUGAAAUGGCCUUUUCAGGCCCCUUUUAGUAGCAAACUGUUUGAACGUGAAAUUACAAGUCUCUUUAGAUUUGAUUCGCUCUCAUUUCCCAAAUCUUCAUACAUUAUGAAGCUUGAAACAAAGUUAAUUUUGGCUCCAAGGUUCUCCUCUUUGGUUGUCAUCUUGGUCUUGUUCCAUCCCUUUAAGGAAUAAUGGUGAGGCCAUUUUAGUUUCUGCCUCUUCAAAUUCCCAGUUAUCAUCUUUCUCUGAGCCACCUGUCCACCUGAAGACUCCUGAUUCGGCCUGUCUUGGGUCACCUGCUCUUUCAAUUGUUGCUGUCACCCAAAACCAACCCUGUCUAUAGUGUAGUUAUGGUUUUAAAUUGAUCUAAAAAUCUUAAUUUUUGUAGGUCUUGUCUCUAGAUUUGCAGUGCCGUGUUUUGUUGCAACUGACCUGCUGCCUCCAUCUGUUCAUAAUCUUCUACUUCAACACACAAACAAAGUUGUUCUGUCCUUUUUUGCUCUGUUUAUGUGGAUUUCCACAAGGACUAUGUGUAUGACCAAAAACAGCAUUUAAUAUUUUUCCCCUCCUUGUUGGAUCUGUGCUAAUGAAAGUUGGGUGCCUUCGGGUGCUGCAAUGUGCCUCAACUGCUUAUAAUGUGUUUUUAAGAAAAGGGAUUUUAGAUUUUCAUUGAUCCUGAAUGUCACAUUUGCACUCUGCCUUGUCAGUUUUUACACCACUCUUUUAAUUGACGUAGUCAUCUUGUAUUUAGAGAAUAUCAAGUUGGCAAUUGCUCUCAGGAAAAUCAGUACUUGUGAUUUUAAUGAACAAUCACUUGAGACCUUUGCCAACCGUUAAGCUGCUCGGGACUAUUUGAAUCCAAUCGCAAUCUUAGAUUUUUGCCUUUUUUGCACCUGUAUAUGUGUCAUGAUUUUUAAUAAAGUUGCUUUUAAGGUACUUUUGCCCUCAGGUGUACUUCACUUUUGUAUAGCC
RNAcentral lists this long non-coding RNA (1033 nucleotides) under Sinocyclocheilus anshuiensis. Its description in RNAcentral is "lncRNA (ENSSANG00000016220.1)". The record is from RNAcentral. Lineage: Eukaryota; Metazoa; Chordata; Actinopteri; Cypriniformes; Cyprinidae.